This 493-nucleotide ribosomal RNA is filed under the name uncultured bacterium. RNAcentral's name for it is "bacterial SSU rRNA". It matches the Rfam family "Bacterial small subunit ribosomal RNA", at positions 28 to 513 of the family's 1533-position model. The record is from RNAcentral.
GACGAACGCUGGCGGCGUGGAUUAGGCAUGCAAGUCGAACGGUAUCAUCCUUUCGGGGGUGAGAGAGUGGCGAACUGGUGAGUAACACGUAGGUGAUCUACCCUCAAGAUUGGGACAACCCAGGGAAACUUGGGCUAAUACCGGAUGAAAGCAGCAGUGAUGUUGUUUGAAAGGUGGCGUAAGCUGCCGUUUGGGGAUGAGCCUGCGCUCUAUUAGUUAGUUGGCGGGGUAAAGGCCACCAAGGCGAUGAUAGAUAGGCGGCCUUAACGGGUGGUCGCCCACACUGGGAUUGAGAUACGGCCCAGACUCCUACGGGAGGCAGCAGUCGAGAAUAGUCUACAAUGGCCGAAAGGCUGAUAGUGCGACGCCGCGUGAACGAAGAAGCCCUUCGGGGUGUAAAGUUCUUUUAUAUGUGAGCAGUGCUUCUUAUAUUAACAGUAUGGGGAGAGCGAUAUUAGCAUAUGAAUAAGCAACGGCUAACUCCGUGCCAGCA